AUCUAGCUGACGAGUCUCAAAUCGAAUGAAACGCGUGUUCUUGAU
This 45-nucleotide non-coding RNA is filed under the name Schistosoma mansoni. The record is from RNAcentral. Lineage: Eukaryota; Metazoa; Platyhelminthes; Trematoda; Strigeidida; Schistosomatidae.